Molecule: long non-coding RNA, 482 nt
Organism: Helianthus annuus (common sunflower)
Lineage: Eukaryota; Viridiplantae; Streptophyta; Magnoliopsida; Asterales; Asteraceae
Exons: 3
Source: RefSeq, a predicted model, not a curated record
AGGAGCAGAGAAAGAGGGUGAAAACCCUAGCUUCAUGAAUCAAGCAAUUGAAUGCUUAAAUCAAAAGAAAAUCUGAUGCAUGAGCUCAAAUUUCGAAUAGCAAGUUCCAAUUUGUGAAGUGGCGUUAAAGAAGAAGGCUCAAACACUAAGAAAAUGGGAGACUCGCAAGAUCGAGAUAAAUCCUCAAUCUAGGCGGUCGGACGAUUUGGAGCGAGCACAUGCACACUUAAUGACCAUUAAGCGCUUCCGCUAUUUCGUAUUAAUGUUUUGGGUCAAAAAGCUUGUUUUGUAUGUCCUUGUCAGUAGUUGCACUUUUUAAUACUUGAUGUUAUGGUUUCUUUUUUUUUAAGUCGUGUCUAGUCGAAAGGGUUGUAGAAGUAUUUGUUUUGAUAAUGGUUAAAACAGGGAUAUGCUCGUCUUAUGGACGGGUCAUGCCCAAAUUUUGUUAAAAAUUGUGCAUUAAUGAUAUUAGUAUCGUUACC